RNAcentral lists this ribosomal RNA (560 nucleotides) under Labeo catla (catla). RNAcentral describes it as "partial 16S ribosomal RNA". It matches the Rfam family "Bacterial large subunit ribosomal RNA", at positions 1852 to 2608 of the family's 2925-position model. Lineage: Eukaryota; Metazoa; Chordata; Actinopteri; Cypriniformes; Cyprinidae. The record is from RNAcentral.
GUCCAGCCUGCCCAGUGACUACAAGUUCAACGGCCGCGGUAUUUUGACCGUGCAAAGGUAGCGCAAUCACUUGUCUUUUAAAUAGAGACCUGUAUGAAUGGCUAAACGAGGGCUUAACUGUCUCCCCUUUCCAGUCAGUGAAAUUGAUCUGCCCGUGCAGAAGCGGACAUAAAAAUACAAGACGAGAAGACCCUUUGGAGCUUAAGGUACAAAACUCAACCGCGUCAAGCAACUCAAUAAAAAGCAAAAACUUUGCGGAACAUGAGAUUUUACCUUCGGUUGGGGCGACCACGGAGGAAAACAAAGCCUCCAAGUGGAUUGGGAAAACCUCCUAAAACCAAGAGAGACAUCUCUAAGCCACAGAACAUCUGACCAAACAUGAUCCGGCUGCCCGAAGCCGAUCAACGAACCAAGUUACCCUAGGGAUAACAGCGCAAUCCUCUCCCAGAGUCCAUAUCGACGAGAGGGUUUACGACCUCGAUGUUGGAUCAGGACAUCCUAAUGGUGCAGCCGCUAUUAAGGGUUCGUUUGUUCAACGAUUAAAGUCCUACGUGAUCUGA